GCAUUGCUGGCGUAACGCAGCGUGAACGCCUGAACCUGGUCAGGGCCGGAAGGCAGCAGCCAUAAGGGAUGAUUCGCGGGUGCCGUUGCUCACCGGCAAUGCUUUU
This 106-nucleotide signal recognition particle RNA is filed under the name Deinococcus deserti VCD115. It matches the Rfam family "Bacterial small signal recognition particle RNA". Rfam says of the family: The signal recognition particle (SRP) is a universally conserved ribonucleoprotein involved in the co-translational targeting of proteins to membranes. Archaeal SRP consists of a 7S RNA and homologues of the eukaryotic SRP19 and SRP54 proteins. Lineage: Bacteria; Thermotogati; Deinococcota; Deinococci; Deinococcales; Deinococcaceae. The record is from RNAcentral.